Molecule: long non-coding RNA, 4107 nt
Organism: Equus quagga
Lineage: Eukaryota; Metazoa; Chordata; Mammalia; Perissodactyla; Equidae
Exons: 6
Source: RefSeq, a predicted model, not a curated record
CCAAGUGGAGGGGAACUGAUGAUUCCCAAACCGGGGGGCGAGAAGUUGGUUAGCCUAGGAAAGUAGGACUAAGACAGCCUGGGCAUUGUUUGUCAAGGCCUGAGUCUGUCAGAGUCGCUGGAAGCCCAAGGCCCCAGUCACCUCAUUUAAUCCUCGCAACAGUGCAGGGAGAAAGGAGGAUGGGAAUGGUUUUCUCCAUUUUACAGUUGAGGGAAGGUUAGGUGCUUGCCCAAAGUCAUACAGCCACAAGGGAUAAGAUGAAAAUAGAACUCAGGUGCCCUGACAUCUAGGCCAGGCCCCUCCCACUAUGCUUAGCUGCCCACUUCCAAGAGACCCACAUCCGAUGCCCGGAAAAUGCCAUGUGGAAGACGGCUGUUACGAUUCUAAGUUUAAGUUGGGGGUGGGGUGGGGGGCAGUGUGUAGUGGGUACAGCCAGGGGUGAAGGAUGGGGACGCCGUCCUGCCAUCCUGGAUAUGGAGUCUUUUUUUAUGGCUUAUGCCACUCCAACUGGCAUACACAAGGCAUAGCUGAAGAUUAAACGUCCUCAACGUCAUUAGCCCAUUAGAUUUCCUGACACCUUCUCCCAGAAUUCUGUCCUGUUUACAUUCCCAAGCCAGUUUCUGUUUAUCACAUUUGCAGAAGGUUCAUAAAGAGAUGUCCUCUUCCUCGCCACUCUUCAGGGAGCAAAUAUUCUCUCAUAUACUUUUGGGAAGGAAAAGAAUUCCUUUCAGUCCAGAGCUUUAGUUGCCAAAAAAAAAUUGCUUUACCAUCCCCCAACCCUACCUUGGGUGACCAGCUUGUCCCAGUCCACCCCGGACUGUUCCAGCUGAAAGUCCCGUGUUCUCCCUUUGAUCCGGGGCAAACUCGAGUGGUCCUGAUUUCCUGCACCAGCUGCUCUCCCUGAAUCCUGCCUCUUCCAUUCCUAUAUUUAGGACUAAUUUUUGCAAGUUGAUCCUGCUGCCACAGGGGCUUGUUAAUAGCAAACAGACAUCCCCUGGGAUCACCCGAGGCAGAGGGAGAUGGGCCUGCGUGGCUCAGGUAUGGUGGAGUUGAUCUUGAUCUGAAGGCGUUCCCUCUCCCUGCUUCGUGGGGUGAUGAGUCAGACUCUGCAAAACGCAUUGCCCUGGCUGGAAAGACGUUCUGUGGCUCCAUCUACAUCUAACAAAGGCGGAGCAGUGGCCUUUUGCUCUGUAGGACAAGGACAGUCCCCACAAAGGUGAAGGGCAGAUUUUCUGGGGCCUGGGCUUCCUGGUGUGAGACUGGAGAGGCUCCUAGGAGUGGAAGAGAGUGGCUGUGGCUGGUCAGAGGUGACAGGAAGAGGUGUUGGUGCCGCUCACUCAUGCCAGCAGGAAAUUAGGACUAUCCCAUUGCCCCAGGGAGAAUUCUUAAUGUUCCCGGGGUAGAACAUUUUAGCAAAGCCAGGCAGGGAGCAAUUACCUACAACGUCAAUCAGUCUAUGAGUUAACUGAGUAGAUCCAGCACGGACCAGUUUGUCCUUCAUUUCUCUUGGCAAAGCGGGUCGGCUGGCUUUGGCUGGCUUUCCCCGGCCCACCAGAGAGGGCAGGUUGUCCCAGCAGGUCAGAGGAGGCGCUAUGCUAAGCACAGACGUUCAGGCACUUGCUCAGAUGGCGUGUCUCAAGUGUUCCUCUUUUCUUAGGAAAGAGAGUUCUCUGUCCACGGUUAGAUAAGGGCGCCUUUCUGACCUGUCACAGGGUAUUUGUUUCUGCCGCUCGAUUUGUUGUUUCGGGGCGUGACUGACAGCUCCGGGGAGGGGAGAGGACAAUCUAGGAGCCUUUCAGCUUUUGCUGUCUCGCGGGAGCUUGGACGACGGAGAAGAUGGAUUCACUGCGUGCGUGCGCCGGGCUUAUGUAAGCCGCAGGCGGCAGGCGGAGUGGGGAAAGGAAUGCGGCGAGGAGAGCUGGUUGUUACACAUCUAUCGGCAUUCCACUGCCCAGAAGUCUCUGUAGAGGAGGCAGAACUUGAAAUGGACCUUACAAGUUUGGAAAAGAAGCAUCUUGUAUUUCUCUUCCACAGAAGUGUGUACAAUUACGUAUAUCUCCUUUUUAAGAAGAAAGUUGAUGCUCUUUUCCCGACUUGAGAGAGAGAAAAGAAUAAGAAGAUUCAAAGGUUUCUGUGUCUAAGGACUGAAUGGAUGGUGUACCACUUGGCAAGAUAGAGGAUACAAGAGGAUUUUGACCAAAUGCAUUCAACAUGUAUCUGCAUGCAAACUCUUGAAGCUCUUGGCUGUUUUUUCCAACCACCGCGGUGAAUUCCGGAUGAGAGCUGGGGCUUGAAGAGAGACAGAGCUUUCUCUGGAAUGUCUGUUCUUCCUGCCAGUCAGUGUUCAUCUGGCAGGCUGGCCUUUGACUGCGCUGGUAUUUUAAGCAUCUAAAUGUGUUCUAAGCUGGCCCGGCAGCCAUCCUAUGCAAUCCACGUCACUGCCCUUUACGCCGGAGGGGACUUAGGGACCCUUGGAAUGCUCAAUCAGCAGAGCCUGCACCGAAUUGCAGUGGAAUCCAUUUGCCCAGGGACGAUUUAUCAGCAUACUGCAUCUGGCUGACUCAGACACCGAUAAUACAACCUGCUAUGUUGACUCCCACUCUUCUCCUCAAAAGGACAGCAUGGGACUUCUCUGAGGCGCUUACUCUCAUGAAGUGAUUUAUUGAUGGUUCUCAAAGUUUAAUGGGUGUAAGAGUCGCUCAGGGAGCUUGUUAAAUUAGGGAUUCCCAAGUCUGGUCCAUCAAAUAUUCUGAAUUAGAAGUUUCAGAUGGGACUCAGGAAGACAUGCAUUUUAAUCAAGCAUCUCAGGAUACGUUGGUGCAAACGAUGUUUGGAUUAUGCAAGAGAAACACUGUAAUUUGACUGGGUCUCAUUUUAUUUUUACGAAGUCGAAUAAUGGGAUUUACUUCAUUAAACUGUAAAUUUCUUGAGCUUAGAGGCCGUGGUCUAUAUCCUGCUGCAAUUCUUAGCCCAGUGUCUGGCAUAGAGUAGGUUAAACUCAGUUACCCAUGACUCUCAGUACCUUUUUGUUAGUCUGAGCUGGGGGACUGAAGAACUAAGCUUGAUUCCAGGUCUCUGGGGCUGCAGAAGAGAUUGGGGCAGACAGCAUGGGGAGCUUUCUGCAUGCUGGCCUGGGCAUGGUAAGGCAGUGAUAUUAGUUUUCAGGCCAUCAAAUUCUGCCUGUGCUGUUAUAUUUCUUAAGUGAACCUCUAAUAUCUUUUCUCCAGAAGCAACUUAAGUCUUAAUUUUUUGUUUCCUGCUAUGCCUUACUUUGAGUAGGUCCACAUAUCUAAUAAUAAUAACGGAUGAUCCCCACUCAUCCCCAGCCUCAUUUGUCAAUGUUCCUAGCAAGAAGUCUAAUCUAGCAAGAAUCCUGUCUAAUGAAUUUUCAUUCGUUAUGGUUUAUUCCAGCCCUUGGUGUCCUGUGUACCAGAUGUGGGGUGAAAGGUUGCACACAGACACAUCCUGGUAAUAACAUGGGCUAAGUUCUCAGUGUCCCUGAGCAGAGACAAUGGCAGGUGGAAAAGUAUACCUGGAUGCCCUUGACCCUCAUGGAGACAUGAUGGAGGGUGGCAGGUAGAGAAUCUGACCUUUGGUAGAAAUGUCGAUCUAUCGUUAAUGGCCAAGACCUGGCUAAACGCAAUGGAAAAACUAACUCUUUGGCACCCAAACCAGGAGUCAUUACCUCCUGAAUUAUACCCAGGAAAGAGAGACUGAAUACUCCAGAAACAAUCUUCACAGAAGUUCCAGAGGAAAUCAAGCAAUUUUAGCCAAGUUGCUAAGGCAACUUCGGAGACUCGAUUUUGUGAGUGGAUACAACCUCCUCCGGAGAGCCAGGUGUCUAGGGAAGAUUGGUCCCAGGGUGAGUCUGAGGGUGGAGGGUGAAGGGGUUCAUACUGAUGUUCCAAGCCAAUCAAUGUGGUUCUGACCUCUUAGGAGUUUUUGAUUGGGACAUGGAUGAAUGACAAAUCUGGCCAUUGAAACAUGAGGAAAAGUCUGCUGGGGGCUGCUAGGGAAAGUUAACUUGUUUUUAAAAAGAUACAGAGAGGGGCUGGCCCCGUGGCCGAGUGGUUAAGUUCGCGCGCUCCGCUGCAGGCAGCCCAGUGU